GAGAGAGUUCAAGAGUACGUGAAACCGUUCAGGGGUAAACCUGAGAAACCCAAAAGAUCGAAUGGGGAGAUUCAUCGCCAGUGACGUUGGCUCUCGCUCGGAAUUGCAGGAUCUGGCUUCGGUUAGUGUUCUGCGUCUGUAGCGUUGUGUCCGGCGUCGUCGGCGUGCACUUCUCCCCUAGUAGGACGUCGCGACCCGUUGGGUGCCGGCCUACGGCCUAGUAGGUUGACUGAUGCGUCGCGUUCGCGCGUUCCCGCGUCAGACACCGCUGGAUGCCCGGCCGGCUGCCCGGCGGUAUAGAAUGCUUUAACACGGUAAUGAGCCGCACUCUAAGUGCGUCCGGCUCGUCGGCAGGCUCGCAUCGUGCGGAUUUACGGACCUGGUGCCGUUGCCGUUACGCUGUGUGGCUGUUAGUCGACGAUGUCCUCGGACUGGCUCGACACAUUCGAAAGGAUAUACCGGUCAGCGACGCUACUGCUUUGGGUACUUUCAGGACCCGUCUUGAAACACGGACCAAGGAGUCUAACAUGUGCGCGAGUCAUUGGGACACGUUAAGCCUAAAGGCGCAAUGAAAGUGAAGGUCGUGCUUAGUCUCGGCCGAGGGAGGAUGGCUUGCGUUACGAUGCGAGUCCGCACUCCCGGGGCGUCUCGAGCUCAUUACGAGCAGA
Molecule: ribosomal RNA, 668 nt
Filed under: Spalangia endius
Lineage: Eukaryota; Metazoa; Arthropoda; Insecta; Hymenoptera; Spalangiidae
Description: eukaryotic LSU rRNA
Rfam family: Eukaryotic large subunit ribosomal RNA
Source: RNAcentral